UUGCAACGAUGAAGAACGCAGCGAAAUGCGAUACGUAGUGUGAAUUGCAGAAUUCCGCGAAUCAUCGAGUCUUUGAACGCAAGUUGCGCCCGAGGCUCGACCGAGGGCAUCUCUGCCAGAGCGUCACCG
This 129-nucleotide ribosomal RNA is filed under the name Leucoloma cruegerianum. Its description in RNAcentral is "partial 5.8S ribosomal RNA". It matches the Rfam family "5.8S ribosomal RNA", at positions 28 to 154 of the family's 154-position model. Rfam says of the family: 5.8S ribosomal RNA (5.8S rRNA) is a component of the large subunit of the eukaryotic ribosome. It is transcribed by RNA polymerase I as part of the 45S precursor that also contains 18S and 28S rRNA. Functionally, it is thought that 5.8S rRNA may be involved in ribosome translocation. The record is from RNAcentral. Lineage: Eukaryota; Viridiplantae; Streptophyta; Bryopsida; Dicranales; Dicranaceae.